This 225-nucleotide ribosomal RNA is filed under the name uncultured Acinetobacter sp. Its description in RNAcentral is "partial 16S ribosomal RNA". It matches the Rfam family "Bacterial small subunit ribosomal RNA", at positions 568 to 792 of the family's 1533-position model. Lineage: Bacteria; Pseudomonadati; Pseudomonadota; Gammaproteobacteria; Moraxellales; Moraxellaceae. The record is from RNAcentral.
CACGCAGGCGGUUUGUUAAGUCAAAUGUGAAAUCCCCGAGCUUAACUUGGGAAUUGCAUUCGAUACUGGUUGGCCAGAGUAUGGGAGAGGAUGGUAGAAUUCCAGGUGUAGCGGUGAAAUGCGUAGAGAUCUGGAGGAAUACCGAUGGCGGAGGCAGCCAUCUGGCCUAAUACUGACACUGAGGUGCGAAAGCAUGGGGAGCAAACAGGAUUAGAUACCCUCGUA